AUUGAACGCUGGCGGCAGGCCUAACACAUGCAAGUCGAGCGGAUGAAGGGAGCUUGCUCCUGGAUUCAGCGGCGGACGGGUGAGUAAUGCCUAGGAAUCUGCCUGGUAGUGGGGGAUAACGUCCGGAAACGGGCGCUAAUACCGCAUACGUCCUGAGGGAGAAAGUGGGGGAUCUUCGGACCUCACGCUAUCAGAUGAGCCUAGGUCGGAUUAGCUAGUUGGUGGGGUAAAGGCCUACCUAGGCGACGAUCCGUAACUGGCCUGAGAGGAUGAUCAGUCACCCUGGAGCUGGGACACGGUCCAGGCUCCUACGGGAGGCCGCAGUGGGGAAUAUUGGACAAUGGGCGAAAGCCUGAUCCAGCCAUGCCGCGUGUGUGAAGAAGGUCUUCGGAUUGUAAAGCACUUUAAGUUGGGAGGAAGGGCAGUAAGUUAAUACCUUGCUGUUUUGACGUUACCAACAGAAUAAGCACCGGCUAACUUCGUG
This 484-nucleotide ribosomal RNA is filed under the name uncultured bacterium. RNAcentral's name for it is "partial 16S ribosomal RNA". It matches the Rfam family "Bacterial small subunit ribosomal RNA", at positions 30 to 507 of the family's 1533-position model. The record is from RNAcentral.